AAGCAGACCGGGUCACACGCGGGACCGAAGCAGACCGGGACACACGCAGGUCCGAAGCAGACCGGGACACACGCGGGUCCGAAGCAGACCGGGACACACGCGGGUCUGAAGCAGACCGGCCCGACGCCAGGCACAGGACAGGGACUCCCGGCAGGUGACCAGGGAACAAACGCUGCCUGUUCCCGACUGACCGCACUUCCGCCUCCUCCCCUCCCAUUCAAUCCCGGCGCUGCCGGUUCCCUCCAUCUCCAUGGCAUGCGGGCUCCAAAUUACUUUUACCUCGGUGAGGGAAGCAGGCUGGAGGAAGCAUGUGAUCACACGAGCAGCAGGAUUCUACUUUGUGAGCAGCAGUUCCAGUGUCGGGCAAGAGGCUGGUAGAGCUGCAGAACUGCCGGAGCCUACAUUCCUGCGGAUCCAGAUGAAGGUACCACGCACCCAGGCUCCGUUAGUCACAU
Non-coding RNA from Taeniopygia guttata (zebra finch), 455 nucleotides. The record is from RefSeq and is a predicted model, not a curated record. NCBI's taxonomy places the organism in Eukaryota, Metazoa, Chordata, Aves, Passeriformes, Estrildidae.